Long non-coding RNA from Quercus robur (English oak), 941 nucleotides. RefSeq lists it as uncharacterized. The record is from RefSeq and is a predicted model, not a curated record. Lineage: Eukaryota; Viridiplantae; Streptophyta; Magnoliopsida; Fagales; Fagaceae. The transcript is spliced from 2 exons.
UGCUACUGCACAGUCAACACUGUGUUCUUCAUUCACAUCACACUUCCCAGUACCUAUAUUAAUCUCUGCUCUCACCACCCACUUUUCCCAAAGAGAGAAAUGGGAAAGGGAGAAAGAGUUGAAGGAAGUUUUGGGAGAUGGGAGGUUUGGCAAAGAAACCAACUUUUUUUUUGCCGAAUCCGCCCAUUCCUAUGAUUUCCUUUGGUUCCUCUCUUUCCCCUAUCCUCUGAUCUUUAGUAAAAAGAUUCCAACUGUUUGUUGUUGUUCUUCUUCCAUUAUCAUAAAGAGUGAGAGGAAAUGAAAGCGAGAGAGAGUUGAAAGAAGGUUUUGGGUUUCGAGUGAUGGGAAAGAAUGACUGGUUUUGAAAUCAAAUUCUUUUCUAGUCCCCUAAGACCAAUGUUUUCUUUCACUUCCCCUCCCUUUCUCUUUUUCACGGUUUGAGUCACCAUUUUGUUUUGUGUUCCGUUUAUUUCACAGGUAAGCAUUUCAUGGUUGGAUCUAUGGGUUGUUCGUGUUCUUGGUACUUAGAAGAAGCUUAACCAGGUUUCUCUUAAUAAAAAUCCAAACUUUUUGUGUAAGACUGACCGGACUUCUUUAUGUUGGCUUUUGGAGUUUUCGUUUGUUUCACAGGUAAGCAUUUUAUGGUUGGAUCUAUGGGUUGUUUGUGUUCUUGGUACUUAGAAGAAGCUUAACCAGGUUUCUCUUAAUAAAAAUCCAAACUUUUUGUGUAAGGCUGUAAGAAAUAUUAGCUGCAACUACAGUCAUCUGCAAUGAAACAAAAUCACAACUCUGCUGUGCUGUUUUAUUCAAAAUCUGUGAAGUUUUGUGAUGGUAACCAUACCUGGGACUCAUAGUAUAAACAGUAAUAAUCAAUUUAUGGUAGCCUUUCUUGGGUUGAUAAGGAUCUGUAUAGUUUGGAAACAUUAAAAUGUUUUUAGACU